UGCCAGCAGCCGCGGUAAUACGGAGGGUGCAAGCGUUAUCCGGAUUCACUGGGUUUAAAGGGUGCGUAGGUGGGUUGGUAAGUCAGUGGUGAAAUCCCCGAGCUUAACUUGGGAACUGCCAUUGAUACUAUCAGUCUUGAAUACCGUGGAGGUCAGCGGAAUAUGUCAUGUAGCGGUGAAAUGCUUAGAUAUGACAUAGAACACCAAUUGCGAAGGCAGCUGGCUACGCGAAUAUUGACACUGAGGCACGAAAGCGUGGGGAUCAAACAGGAUUAGAUACCCUGGUAGUCCACGCCCUAAACUAUGGAUACUCGACAUACGCGAUACACUGUGUGUGUCUGAGCGAAAGCAUUAAGUAUCCCACCUGGGAAGUACGACCGCAAGGUUGAAACUCAAAGGAAUUGACGGGGGCCCGCACAAGC
RNAcentral lists this ribosomal RNA (422 nucleotides) under uncultured bacterium. Its description in RNAcentral is "bacterial SSU rRNA". It matches the Rfam family "Bacterial small subunit ribosomal RNA", at positions 506 to 930 of the family's 1533-position model. The record is from RNAcentral.